CCACUGCUCUCUUCAAAGCUGUCAGACAGGGACAUUUAAGUCUGCAGAGGUUACUGCUGUCUUUUUGUUUGUCUGUGCCCUGCCCCCAGAGGUGGAGCCUACUGAGGCAGGCAGGCCUCCUUGAGCUGUGGUGGGCUCCACCCAGUUCGAGCUUCCUGGCUGCUUUGUUUACCUAAUCAAGCCUGGGCAAUGGCGGGCGCCCCUCCCCCAGCCUCGCUGCCGCCUUGCAGUUUGAUCUCAGACUGCUGUGCUAGCAAUCAGCGAGACUCCGUGGGCGUAGGACCCUCCGAGCCAGUGAGAUGAACCCGGUACCUCAGCUGGAAAUGCAGAAAUCACCCGUCUUCUGCGUCGCUCACGCUGGGAGCUGUAGACUGGAGCUGUAGACAGGAGCUGUUCCUAUUCGGGCAUCUUGGCUCCUCCUUGAAAACAAGCCCUGGAAAAACAAAGAAUGGAACACCCCUCCGCUGACUUCAACCAACUGCCUGCUGAUGCGGCCUGACUCCCAGCCCUUUUUGCAGUUUUGAAGUGACAAACUGACUAGGCUACAAAGUAUUCAACCAUGGGCUGGUUCUGGCUGGUUCACCGAGGCUGUGUACAAAGUGUCUUCAUGUCCUGUGUUUCACCUUUUAACAUACAGAACCUAAUUUUACUGCAUUUUAAUGUUAAUUCUCCACUCGAAGGUGAACAUGGGAUGUAUGUAACACAUAUGUUUGCUUAUCAAGCACACAUAUGACCCCCUUUCAUGAAUAUUCAUAGUUCCCCCUGUGACCUGUUGAAUAUGUCUGUUUAGCCAACCUGUUUGGCAUAAAACUCCUAUCCCACCCUAUCUCCCUCAAAGUACCUGUUUGUGGUCUCAGCUGGAGGUGCCACUUCCCAGCCUGCAGUUUGCAACCCUUCUCAAGAAAUAAAGUCUUCC
RNAcentral lists this long non-coding RNA (916 nucleotides) under Homo sapiens (human). Its description in RNAcentral is "HSALNT0397541". The record is from RNAcentral. Lineage: Eukaryota; Metazoa; Chordata; Mammalia; Primates; Hominidae.